ACUAACAUUUUAUAUUCUCGAUAUACAAUUAAUACCUAUUACACUAGUAUGCAUUAUUUAAGUAUUAAACGACCUUGCUUNNUUUAGAGGCGGUGUUAUUGUGAGAAAGAGUGGGGGGGUUACCUUCGUGCCGCUGCAUAAGCGAUAAGCACCCCUUUUUGGGGAGUACGAUCGCAAGAUUGAAACUCAAAGGAAUUGACGGGGGCCCGCACAAGCGGUGGAGCACGUGGUUUAAUUCGAUGCAAACCGAAAAACCUUACCUGGGUUUGACAUGCACGUGGUACGGAGAUGAAAGUUGAAGGACCCCUUAAAGAUACGGGGAGCGUGCACAGGUGCUGCAUGGCUGUCGUCAGCUCGUGUCGUGAAAUGUUGGGUUAAGUCCCGCAACUAGCGCAACCCCUGCAUCCAGUUGCCAGCUGAUUGAAGACGGGGACUCUGGAUGGACUGCCGGCGACAAUCUCGGAUGAAGGUGUGGGAUGACGUCAAGCCAUCAAUGGUCCUUAUGUCCAGAGGCGACAUACGUGCUACAAUGGCCUGGUAUAAACAGGAAUUGAGGGGGCGAAUCCGGUAAAAGGAUCCCACCAAAAAAACGUCCCAAGUUACAGAUUGGAAGUCUGCAUACUCGACUCCCUGUAAGCUGGAAAUCCCUUAGAUAAACUAGGAUCAACACAAGUCGCGGUUGAAUAAAUAUCC
RNAcentral lists this ribosomal RNA (693 nucleotides) under uncultured bacterium. Its description in RNAcentral is "bacterial SSU rRNA". The stretch from base 160 to 693 matches the Rfam family "Bacterial small subunit ribosomal RNA", at positions 874 to 1375 of the family's 1533-position model. The record is from RNAcentral.